GGAGGAUUAGCUCAGCUGGGAGAGCAUCUGCCUUACAAGCAGAGGGUCGGCCGGUUCGAGCCCGUCAUCCUCCACCA
RNAcentral lists this transfer RNA (77 nucleotides) under Bacillus subtilis. RNAcentral's name for it is "tRNA-Val". It matches the Rfam family "tRNA". From Rfam's summary of the family: Transfer RNA (tRNA) molecules are approximately 80 nucleotides in length. Lineage: Bacteria; Bacillati; Bacillota; Bacilli; Caryophanales; Bacillaceae. The record is from RNAcentral.